AUUUACACCUUUUAAGACAUCCAUUAUAUUCUAUGCUUCUGCUUUUGUAUGAGCUCUCUUUUAUUCCUUGGAACGGGUUGUGUAUACUUCUCUUCUUCGCUUAAAGAAACGAAUCAAGAUAGGUGUAGUUUCUGCGCCGAUGAUACUCAAGGAGGCUACCAUAAGUGCGGUCCCAUACUCCAAUGAAGAGCGCCUCUGUGUCAGGGCUGAAUGAUAUUCCAGAUAUCUCUCCAAAGAAGUCGAUCUCCUGCUCUGUUUCAUACCCCUUUGAGACGUCAUAGACGUGCACAAAGUCUGCCGGUUCGGCCAUGGCCAUGUAUUUUCCGUCGGACGUGUAGCGGAUCGACCGGAUUGCUCCAAGGUUACCCUUCAGGACAGCAACAGAGUGAGAUAGGUUGCGGAUGUCCCAUACACGGCAGGUCUUGUCUUGGUUUCCAGUUGAGAAAGUGAUUCCGUCAGGAUGCCACGCUGAGGCAAAGGAGUAGUCAAAAUGUCCUGAUAGUGUUUCCAGCGUCUGUAGAUGAAGUUUUAAAGAUUUGGCAUUAUAAAAGUGGUGACCAACCAUUUGAGACUAACUUACACACUUGAGUUCAGGAUCGAAAAUAUUUGUACCUUUCCUGUGUUGGGGUCUACUAUAAGGCCCUCGGGAUUGCCGCCAACAAUAGCUAGUAAUUUACCAUUAGGACUCAAUGAUGUGUGCUGUUACCAACAAAUGGAGGACAGAAGAACAUCAUUAGCCAAACUGAAACUCCGAAUUAUGCCAAAAUAAAAGGAAAACUAUGAGAGAAGCAAGGACUUUACGUUCACUGGCCAAGGAAAGGAAAAAUGCUUAACAAGCUGGUAUCUCUCCAUGUCAAAAUCUCUAACUCCACAGUCAUUAUUCGAGGCAGUAAAAUGAAGGGCACCACUAUGAACAGAUGACAAAAACUAAGUUAGAAGCAGUGACUCUAACAAUUUAAAUGUAAACCCUUCAGCAGAAACCUGGGUUUGUUGUAGAUCUCAAUAGCAUUGGUAAUAGCAUUAUCAUCAUAAGAAGUACAAGAGCAAAAGCUGACACCAGGUCUAUCAAGAUGCUGAAACCAAUGUGGAAAGUAGAAAGAUGUUUUUCCUACAAAUUUGCAAAACCACAUUUUCAGGCCAAAGUAGUAAAAUCAUAUCCCCCAAAAUCAUGAAAUUACGCUUCCCGCAAAAACCGUGAAAUAUUUUUUUCCCGGAAAACCAUAUAUCAUGUUUUCGCGUCAAAACCGUAAAAUUAUGUUUUUCCACCAAAAUCGUAAAAUCACAUUUUUCGCCAAAACUAUGUUAGAACCGUAAAAUCAUGAUUUUUGCAAAAAAUCGCAAAAUUAAGUUUUUCCGUCAAAACCGUAAAUCACAUUUUCCUCAAAACCACAAAUUACGUUUUCCCACUUUCUUGGUAUAAGAAUUAUUCAUGUCUACCACCACUAAAGAGAUAUUUAAAAAAAAACAUUAUUCAUUAAGUGGCAAAAGACUCUUAUAUCUUUGUUCUAUAUAUAUAUGAUAAAUAAUUAUUUAAAUAAACUAAAAAAUAUUUUUUUUAUAUCCCCUUAUAUUAAAUUUUUGAAGUUAUAAAUAUGGUCAACUUGAUAAUUUUAAUUAUUUAAGGCACUUUACAAACAAAUAAAAUGAUAAGGACUAAAAUAUAAUAACUUAAGAAAAUAAGUCAAUAUAUUUUAGUAUAGACUGACACGUGUCAGUUACGAGGCAUGUUUUAGCUAUUUAUUACUCCCUCCGGUUUUUAAUAUAAGUCGUUUUAAAGAAAUUUUUUUGUUCCAAAUUAUAUGUCGUUUUCGAUUUUCUAUGUAAAAUUUAUUAAUAAUUAAUGAUGUCUGACCAAUGAUAAUAUAUUUUCUAUUUUUCUAUUGGUUGAAUUGUAGUUAGGUAAAUAAUUAAUGAUGUUUUUGUUUAGAAAAUAUAAGAAAUUAAUGAUUUUCUUAAUCUAUGUGCAUAGCUGUAAGACGACUUAUAUUAAAAAACGGAGGGAGUAUAAGUUUAGGUAUGAACUUCAAAAUUUUAUUUAGUUUACGAAUGUUUUAGCACGUUAAUAUACUCUAGAUAUAUAUUUUUUCCGCUUUCAUAGUGUGAAUAUGAAUAAACCGUUUUCCCCAGUAAGAAACAGACAACAAACGAAGUUAGAAGCAGUGACUUUUAACAAUCUAAUGCGGACAGCAAAAGAAAGAGGCAAAAAACCUGGGUUUGUUGUAGAUUUCAAUAGCAUUGGUAAUAGCAUUAUCAUCAUAAGUAGUACGAGAGAAAAAGCUGACCCCAGGUCUAUCAAGAUGCUGAAACCAAAGUGGAAAGUAGAAAUAGAUGAAGCUUUGUCAAUAAUAAUGCAUAUGGCUACUCAAUAAUCAAUAUAUCCAGACUCUUGACAUUGCAUAUAAGAUCUCCUUGAAAUCCACCGGCAAUUAUUCGUCUUUUAUUGCAAGUGUGCUUAUAUGUGUAAACUCUUCCAGCAAACUUCCAUGGUGUUUCUAAGGGGCUGCUAGUUGGAGUUUGAUUUAUAUAGAUUUUGUUGAUUAGAAGAGUAUAUAUACUUGUUGAAUUUGGAAUGAGUUGGAGAAAAUUUUGUAACAAUCUAUAAAAAUAAAUAACUCAAAUAUUUUUUAGAAUCCAAAGGAUAUAUGUAGUACUUUUUAUGAGUUAAAUAAUUAAGAAUACAAUUCUCAAUAACAGUAACUUUAAUAAAUUUACAGAAAUAUUAAAAUCCAAACUUUCGAAUAACAAAUGAUUUUUAGAUUUUAGUGAGAAUAUGAAAAUCUAUAAAUCAAUAACACUACUAUUUAAAUUCUAAAAAUUAAUUCCACUAACACCUUCUAAAUGCACCAAAAAAUCAAAUAAGUAUAUUAUUUUAAUGGGCCGUGUGGUUAGACAAACUCAUUAACUAAUCAAUGGGCUUUAUUAACAUUAUCUCACCAAUCUAGUCAAUGUAUAUAGAUAUGUAUCUAGCCAAAAAAGGGAAGCAAUCUUAAAUUGUAUCUUUUUGGUCUUGUUAAGACUAAAACAGUCAUUAACACAUCAGCAAUACUUAUCUAAUUAAUUAAUUACAUUUAUUUUUUAAAUAUCAUUAAAGCUUUGAAUGUUUACAACCACACCAUAGUUAAUAAUUACGAAAAUCUCUACAUAUAUUUGUGUAUAUCAGAAACGCAAAUGUAGUUGUUACACAAGCUAACAUUCAGACCUUAUGUUUUCUCCUUAGGUGUUAAGGAACUGAUUUAUUAUAAAGAUAAUAAGGUCCUCACAAACUCUCCAUUCACCAACACAGCAAAAAAAAAUGUCAACAGUUUCACCCUCCUCGCAACUGGUUCAGGUGGUUCCAGACAACCACAACAACACUGACGACUCCUCUGCGGAGGUCAACUACGAAGAUCUUGUCCGUAAGUCAUGUCUAUUUGACCUUUUAUUUGACAUUAAGGUUCAUUAGUUUCCUCACAGGUUUAAAACAUUUUACAACACUCAUGUUCUUGUUUUCUCUUUACUUUGUAACAUGCUGAGACACCAUACCUCUUAUGUUUUUCAGAGGAAGCAAUGGAGAGCUUGUCCCUCGAGGAAGGUAUUAAAAAAAGGUUUCUCUAACUCUGUGGCUUUGUAUCACUUUGCGACUUAUUGAAUUUCCACCUUAUGGAACUUGCAGGCACUGUUGAACCGCAGAUUGGGGAUGUGGGAGACGGAGUCAUUGAUGGGACGACGUCCGAAGGUGGAUACCUGGUGACGAUGAAAUUCGGUUCUCAAGUGCUGAAAGGAGUGCUUUACCAUCAUGCUAAAAGGCCCCAACAAGCCAUGGGAACACCACCUUCAGGCAUGCCACCAGCAUCACAGCGCCGAGCUAAGAAGAAAGCCAGAGAGACUACUCAAGUUGAUUCUAAGAAACCCAAAUUCCGCAGGAGUGGCUACAAACCUAAGAAACAGGUCACUUACUUAUAGUUAUCAUCAAAUCAAAUCCUUUAACCAAGUGUUUGCUUAUAAUCUGAUACCAUUUUCUUACAGGUUUAUCAAGACAAAGGAGUUACGGAUGGGGAGAGGUACAGAACUGAGAUCAUGCUGGAGUACGAGUCUGCACAUGAGUCUGAUGGAGCAUCUGCUUCUGCAGCCGCCACCAUGGCUCAGUAGUCUUUUCUUUCUUCUGUUAUGUUGUUGUCUUCUUCUUUCUUUAUUACAUUUCUCUUUCUUCUUUCUUUCUCUGGACAAGUUCUCUUUCUUUUAUAAUGAAUAUUUAUAAUGUCAUUGAUCAGUUUGCAGAACAUGUCAUGUUUAUGGUUGUAGGGUUAGUAAAAGAGGUUACUAACUGCGCAUUUAUGUCUUUCUUGCUAUUUUGAUUCAUGAUAUCCCGUUUGUUUGUUUUUUUUGUUUCUGUUUUCAACUUGGAUAUAUCUUAUGUUGUUGCAGAAAUUUGAAUGAACUAUUAUUACUCUUUCCGUUCCAAAUUAAUUCAUGUUUAAAAAAAAAGUAUUUUAAGAAGAUAUAUUUUUAUUAGAUAAUAAUGUAAAAUUUUAAAUUUUGAAAAGAAAUCAUGUUUACUGUACUUCGAUAGAUAAAAAUUAUAGAAAAUAUAGUUAAACACAAAAUAAUGCAUUUAUAAUUAAGAUCAAACAUAUUUUUAAUAUGUGUGGAAAAAUUUAAAACAUACAUUUUUUGAAAUGGGGUAGGGAACAUCAUUUAUUUAACACAUAUGUUUCUUGAAUCCCAUUUUUGUUGUUAGUUUUCAAGAGUUUCAACAUGUUCUCCCAACAUAUAAAAAGCUUGUUUGAUAAUCAAUUUGUGAAAUAACCAAAAAUAAAGAGAGGAUGGGUGAUUUUGGUUAGUUAGUGAAUUUUUGUUUUUUUUUUUGUAUAUUAGACCUAAUUUCCCAUUAAUAAUGCAAUGAAUGUUUUUAAGCCAACAUGUCAUAUUUGGCAAGAAUGCGUUCAAGGCAACACAAAUUUUUGUGAGAAACUUCAUUGAUGUUUUCAUAAUUGAAACAACUAACCAACACUACUUACUGUACACAUCUUGAACCUUCAGAAUUCACAAGGAAACAACAUGCAAGCCGCCGGCAAAGGAAACAAAAAGACAGUAACUACAAUAGCAUUUGCAUAACACAUCAUUUACACAUUUUAAGACAUCCAUUAUAUUCUAUGCUUCUGCUUUUGUAUGAGCUCUCUUUUAUUCCUUGGAACGGGUUGUGUAUACUUCUCUUCUUCGCUUAAAGAAACGAAUCAAGAUAGGUGUAGUUUCUGCGCCGAUGAUACUCAAGGAGGCUACCAUAAGUGCGGUCCCAUACCCCAAUGAAGAGCGCCUCUGUGUCAGGGCUGAAUGAUAUUCCAGAUAUCUCUCCAAAGAAGUCGAUCUCCUGCUCUGUUUCAUACCCCUUUGAGACGUCAUAGACGUGCACAAAGUCUGCCGGUUCGGCCAUGGCCAUGUAUUUUCCGUCGGACGUGUAGCGGAUCGACCGGAUUGCUCCAAG
Molecule: long non-coding RNA, 5461 nt
Filed under: Brassica rapa (field mustard)
Lineage: Eukaryota; Viridiplantae; Streptophyta; Magnoliopsida; Brassicales; Brassicaceae
Description: long non-coding RNA (BRAP_LNC003886)
Source: RNAcentral